UGAAUUAAAUUGGUGCUCUAGCGGGUGGGGCAGACCCUGGGCUAGCAGGCCUCAGGGAGAACUCCAAUGGCGUCUGUGUUAGCACGCCCACACCAGGCCACAACAAUGGCUGCCGCCAAUGUCCCAGUCCCUGGAGAGGUCUCACCCCUCAUCGAGAUGCACUCAGGGCCUAUUAGCCCAGAUGAGGACGCCCAAUCAGAGAAGGAGUGAAUGACUCAGGCACAGCAACUUGAGGUCCCUCCUUGGGCCGAAUGACCUCAGGCAUGUGGGGACAUGUAAGCAGGAGUGAAUCACUUGGCGUCAUUUCACCACUCUUCCACUUACCUCACAAUGGCAACUGCAAAAUUCUUAUUGAAUGGACUGAGCAGCUGUCUGGUUUGAUUGUAGCUUCCGUGAAUUUGUGCCUCUGACCUCCACUGAAUUGCUUUUUUAUUGCUAUUUGCAGCAAUGUUCCCUGGUAAAUUACAACUUCUGUCUCUAUGGCAACCACAUCUACCUGAGAUGUUACUGCCUCUUUUUCUGCCAGUAGAAAAACGUAGUUAGAAGAGAAAAUCAUACACCUGGCUAGUGGCCCUUUCUACACUAUCAUGCCUGCAUCCUACUCUGAGCUGUGUGUUUUCAAUUAGGAAUCCCCAAGCUAAACUCAGUAGUUGCAUGCACAAGCAUGCCAUGCCUAUAGCAGGUGCAAAUGAAAGACAAAUGUGUAAAUUGUAUGUGUGAUUACCCACUUUUGGCUGUGAGCAGAAGACUUUAUGUCACGUACGCACAGGACAAAUAUAGGACAUUCUCUGGCCAGGUGUAAAUGCUGACAAUUCUGAAAUAAAAUAUUUCCUUUUGC
Molecule: long non-coding RNA, 838 nt
Organism: Diceros bicornis minor
Lineage: Eukaryota; Metazoa; Chordata; Mammalia; Perissodactyla; Rhinocerotidae
Exons: 3
Source: RefSeq, a predicted model, not a curated record